CCUACGGGCGGCAGCAGUGAGGAAUAUUGGUCAAUGGACGCAAGUCUGAACCAGCCAUGCCGCGUGAAGGAAGACGGCUCUAUGAGUUGUAAACUGCUUUUGUACGAGGGUAAACGCAGAUACGCGUAUCCUUCUGAAAGUAUCGUACGAAUAAGGAUCGGCUAACUCCGUGCCAGCAGCCGCGGUAAUACGGAGGAUUCAAGCGUUAUCCGGAUUUAUUGGGUUUAAAGGGUGCGUAGGCGGUCGGAUAAGUUAGAGGUGAAAUCCCGAGGCUCAACUUCGGAAUUGCCUCUGAUACUGGUCGGCUAGAGUGUAGUUGAGGUAGGCGGAAUGUGUGGUGUAGCGGUGAAAUGCUUAGAGAUCAUGCAGAACACCGAUUGCGAAGGCAGCUUACCAAGCUACUACUGACGUUGAGGCACGAAAGCGUGGGGAGCGAACAGGAUUAGAUACCCGGGUAGUC
RNAcentral lists this ribosomal RNA (460 nucleotides) under uncultured bacterium. RNAcentral's name for it is "partial 16S ribosomal RNA". It matches the Rfam family "Bacterial small subunit ribosomal RNA", at positions 338 to 795 of the family's 1533-position model. The record is from RNAcentral.